This 65-nucleotide transfer RNA is filed under the name Psychoda alternata. RNAcentral's name for it is "tRNA-Phe". Lineage: Eukaryota; Metazoa; Arthropoda; Insecta; Diptera; Psychodidae. The record is from RNAcentral.
AUUUAAAUUGCUUUUAAAGAGCAUUACAUUGAAGAUGUAAGGGUGAUUGUUAUAAUCUUUAAAUA